RNAcentral lists this ribosomal RNA (253 nucleotides) under uncultured bacterium. Its description in RNAcentral is "partial 16S ribosomal RNA". It matches the Rfam family "Bacterial small subunit ribosomal RNA", at positions 524 to 776 of the family's 1533-position model. The record is from RNAcentral.
GACGUAGGAGGCGAGCGUUAUCCGGAUUCAUUGGGCGUAAAGGGCAAGUAGGCGGUUGUCAAAGUUGGGCGUGACAUCUCCCGGCUCAACUGGGAGGAUGCGUUCAAAACUAGGCGACUAGAGGGCAGGAGAGGGAAGUGGAAUUCCCAGUGUAGCGGUGGAAUGCUCAGAUAUUGGGAAGAACACCAGUGGCGAAGGCGGCUUCCUGGUCUGCACCUGACGCUGAGAGGCGAAAGCUAGGGGAGCAAACGGG